RNAcentral lists this ribosomal RNA (406 nucleotides) under uncultured bacterium. Its description in RNAcentral is "bacterial SSU rRNA". It matches the Rfam family "Bacterial small subunit ribosomal RNA", at positions 30 to 433 of the family's 1533-position model. The record is from RNAcentral.
AUUGAACGCUGGCGGCAGGCCUAACACAUGCAAGUCGAGCGGAAACGAGAAGUAGCUUGCUACUUCGGCGUCGAGCGGCGGACGGGUGAGUAAUGCCUAGGAAAUUGCCUUGAUGUGGGGGAUAACUAUUGGAAACGAUAGCUAAUACCGCAUAAUGUCUACGGACCAAAGAGGGGGACCUUCGGGCCUCUCGCUUCAGGAUAUGCCCAGGUGGGAUUAGCUAGUUGGUGAGGUAAUGGCUCACCAAGGCGACGAUCCCUAGCUGGUCUGAGAGGAUGAUCAGCCACACUGGAACUGAGACACGGUCCAGACUCCUACGGGAGGCAGCAGUGGGGAAUAUUGCACAAUGGGCGCAAGCCUGAUGCAGCCAUGCCGCGUGUAUGAAGAAGGCCUCGGUUGUAAGUAC